CAUGACCUGGCUGCGAGGCUGCAUAACAUCUGGGAGAUGAGUAAACUCCUUUACAGAAGAGAAGGCACAGGGAAGACAAAGCCAAGUGAUGUUCCCAAGAUCACAAACCAGAACUGUUUUGCGACUUCAACUGCAGCAGGAACUACUGAGUACUUUGAGCAGUACUUGACAGAGGAGUUAAGUGAAGGAUCUUCUAUCAAAGUCAGAAACUAAAGGCCUAUUUGUAAUCUGAGUUAGACCUGAGCUUCUCAUGAAUCCACUACAGCAACUAUGCUGGCAGAGCAAAGUGCACCAGCUGGACCAUGUUUCAGGGGUGUUGAUUACAGCCAUGUUGG
Long non-coding RNA from Alligator sinensis (Chinese alligator), 335 nucleotides. RefSeq lists it as uncharacterized. The record is from RefSeq and is a predicted model, not a curated record. The transcript has 3 exons. Lineage: Eukaryota; Metazoa; Chordata; Crocodylia; Alligatoridae.